UAAUACAGAGGGUGCGAGCGUUAAUCGGAAUUACUGGGCGUAAAGGGCGCGUAGGCGGAAAGAUGUGUGUGAUGUGAAAGCCCCGGGCUUAACCUGGGAAGUGCAUCGCAAACUGUCUAACUAGAGUAUAUGAGAGGGUGGCGGAAUUUCCGGUGUAGCGGUGAAAUGCGUAGAUAUCGGAAGGAACGUCGAUGGCGAAGGCAGCCACCUGGCAUAAUACUGACGCUGAGGCGCGAAAGCGUGGGGAGCGAACAGGAUUAGAUACCCUGGUAGUCCACGCUGUAAACGAUGAGGACUAAAUGUUGUUUGGGGAACCAAGCAGUAUUGAAGCAAACGCGAUAAGUCUUCCGCCUGGGAAGUACGGCCGCAAGGUUG
This 375-nucleotide ribosomal RNA is filed under the name uncultured bacterium. RNAcentral's name for it is "bacterial SSU rRNA". It matches the Rfam family "Bacterial small subunit ribosomal RNA", at positions 521 to 896 of the family's 1533-position model. The record is from RNAcentral.